Molecule: transfer RNA, 59 nt
Filed under: Azolla pinnata subsp. pinnata
Lineage: Eukaryota; Viridiplantae; Streptophyta; Polypodiopsida; Salviniales; Salviniaceae
Description: partial tRNA-Phe
Rfam family: tRNA
About the family: Transfer RNA (tRNA) molecules are approximately 80 nucleotides in length. Their secondary structure includes four short double-helical elements and three loops (D, anti-codon, and T loops). Further hydrogen bonds mediate the characteristic L-shaped molecular structure. tRNAs have two regions of fundamental functional importance: the anti-codon, which is responsible for specific mRNA codon recognition, and the 3' end, to which the tRNAs corresponding amino acid is attached (by aminoacyl-tRNA synthetases). tRNAs cope with the degeneracy of the genetic code in two manners: having more than one tRNA (with a specific anti-codon) for a particular amino acid; and 'wobble' base-pairing, i.e. permitting non-standard base-pairing at the 3rd anti-codon position.
Source: RNAcentral
GCCGGGAUAGCUCAGUUGGUAGAGCAGAGGACUGAAAAUCCUCGUGUCCCCNNGUUCAA